RNAcentral lists this ribosomal RNA (492 nucleotides) under uncultured bacterium. RNAcentral's name for it is "partial 16S ribosomal RNA". It matches the Rfam family "Bacterial small subunit ribosomal RNA", at positions 30 to 523 of the family's 1533-position model. The record is from RNAcentral.
AUUGAACGCUGGCGGCAUGCCUUACACAUGCAAGUCGAACGGUAACAGGUUAAGCUGACGAGUGGCGAACGGGUGAGUAAUAUAUCGGAACGUGCCCAGUCGUGGGGGAUAACGUAGCGAAAGCUACGCUAAUACCGCAUACGAUCUACGGAUGAAAACGGGGGAUCGCAAGACAUCGCGCGAGUGGAGCGGCCGAUAUCAGAUUAGGUUGUUGGUGAGUAAAAGCUCACCAAGCCUGCGAUCUGUAGCUGGUCUGAGAGGACGACCAGCCACACUGGAACUGAGACACGGUCCAGACUCCUACGGGAGGCAGCAGUGGGGAAUUUUGGACAAUGGACGCAAGUCUGAUCCAGCAAUGCCGCGUGCAGGACGAAGGCCUUCGGGUUGUAAACUGCUUUUGUACGGAACGAAACGGUGAGCUCUAAUACAGUUUGCUAAUGACGGUACCGUAAGAAUAAGCACCGGCUAACUACGUGCCAGCCGCCGCAGUAA